Molecule: ribosomal RNA, 483 nt
Filed under: uncultured Sporanaerobacter sp.
Lineage: Bacteria; Bacillati; Bacillota; Tissierellia; Tissierellales; Sporanaerobacteraceae
Description: bacterial SSU rRNA
Rfam family: Bacterial small subunit ribosomal RNA
Source: RNAcentral
AGAGUUUGAUCAUGGCUCAGAAUAAACGUUGGCGGCGUGCCUAACACAUGCAAGUCGAGCGAGAAAGUUCCUUCGGGAGCAAGUAAAGCGGCGGACGGGUGAGUAACGCGUGAGAAUCUACCCUUUAGUGAGGAAUACCCUUGAGAAAUUGAGGUUAAUACUGCAUACGUCCCUUCGGGGAGAAAGAUGGCUUUAUGCUGUCGCUAGAGGAUGAGCUUGCGUUCUAUUAGUUAGUUGGUGGGGUAAAGGCCUACCAAGACGAUGAUGGAUAGCCGGCCUGAGAGGGCGAACGGCCACACUGGAACUUAGACACGGUCCAGACUCCUACGGGAGGCAGCAGUGAGGAAUAUUGCACAAUGGGCGAAAGCCUGAUGCAGCGACGCCGCGUGGAGGAUGACGGUCUUCGGAUUGUAAACUCCUGUUAAGUGGGGCAAAAGACUCACUCCUAAUAAGAGUGAGGGAUGAUGGUACCACUAGAGAAAG